AGCAUAUCAAUAAGCGGAGGAAAAGAAACUAACAAGGAUUCCCCUAGUAACUGCGAGUGAAGCGGGAACAGCUCAAAUUUAAAAUCUGUCAGUCUUUGGCUGUCCGAGUUGUAAUCUAGAGAAGCGUUAUCCGCGCUGGACCGUGUACAAGUCUCCUGGAAUGGAGCGUCAUAGAGGGUGAGAAUCCCGUCUUUGACACGGACUGCCAGGGCUUUGUGAUGCGCUCUCAAAGAGUCGAGUUGUUUGGGAAUGCAGCUCAAAAUGGGUGGUAAAUUCCAUCUAAAGCUAAAUAUUGGCGAGAGACCGAUAGCGAACAAGUACCGUGAGGGAAAGAUGAAAAGAACUUUGGAAAGAGAGUUAAACAGUACGUGAAAUUGCUGAAAGGGAAACGCUUGAAGUCAGUCGCGUUGUCCAGGGAUCAACCUUGCUUUUGCUUGGUGUACUUUCUGGUUGACGGGUCAGCAUCAAUUUUGACUAUUGGAAAAAGAUCAGGGGAAUGUGGCAUCCUUUGGAUGUGUUAUAGCCUCUGGUUGCAUACAAUGGUUGGGAUUGAGGAACUCAGCACGCCGCAAGGCCGGGUUUUUAACCACGUACGUGCUUAGGAUGCUGGCAUAAUGGCUUUAAUCGACCCGUCUUGAAACACGGACCAAGGAGUCUAACAUGCCUGCGAGUGUUUGGGUGGAAAACCCGAGCGCGUAAUGAAAGUGAAAGUUGAGAUCCCUGUCGUGGGGAGCAUCGACGCCCGGACCAGACCUUCUGUGACGGCUCCGCGGUAGAGCAUGUAUGUUGGGACCCGAAAGAUGGUGAACUAUGCCUGAAUAGGGUGAAGCCAGAGGAAACUCUGGUGGAGGCUCGUAGCGAUUCUGACGUGCAAAUCGAUCGUCAAAUUUGGGUAUAGGGGCGAAAGACUAAUCGAACCAUCUAGUAGCUG
RNAcentral lists this ribosomal RNA (931 nucleotides) under Cortinarius lubricanescens. RNAcentral's name for it is "LSU rRNA". It matches the Rfam family "Eukaryotic large subunit ribosomal RNA", at positions 37 to 953 of the family's 3401-position model. Lineage: Eukaryota; Fungi; Basidiomycota; Agaricomycetes; Agaricales; Cortinariaceae. The record is from RNAcentral.